This 469-nucleotide unclassified non-coding RNA is filed under the name Hevea brasiliensis (rubber tree). Lineage: Eukaryota; Viridiplantae; Streptophyta; Magnoliopsida; Malpighiales; Euphorbiaceae. The record is from RNAcentral.
UGCAGAAGGCCUAUGGUCCUACCAGUAAACCAAUCCCUUUUCUCCAGCUACAAUUUACAAGGAAAAAUGGAGGGAUUUGAAAUGGGUAAUGUAAGGGGUUUUCUUCUUAUUUCAAAGCUUGGGUUUUGCUUAGAUUCUAGAUAGCCAGUAUUGAAGGGUGUGCAUCACUAUCAGUGUCUAGAAAACUAGCUGAAAAACUGCUAGGUGAUUUUGCUGCUACUUAUUGUUAAUUAUCUGUAAAUUUACUUGUCAGGACUAGGGAUAGCUAGGGAUGGGACGUCUCUUUCAUGUUUUCGUAAAAAGACUUUCUGUGUCAUUCUCGGUGAGGUGAGUCUGAUAUUUUAUGGUACGGAGAGUCUCUCAUCCCCACGACUUUUUCCCUGUUUUGGGUCUUAAGACAUGGAUUAGAAUUUUAUUGAUGAACAUGCCUGCUCUUUUGUUGCAUCAUCUAUAUUUCCUCAACUGGGCG